AUUGAACGCUGGCGGCAGGCCUAACACAUGCAAGUCGAGCGGAUGAAGGGAGCUUGCUCCUGGAUUCAGCGGCGGACGGGUGAGUAAUGCCUAGGAAUCUGCCUGGUAGUGGGUGAUAACGUCCGGAAACGGGCGCUAAUACCGCAUACGUCCUGAGGUAGAAAGUGGGGGAUCUUCUGACCUCACGCUAUCAGAUGAGCCUAGGUCGGAUUAGCUAGUUGGUGGGGUAAAGGCCUACCAAGGCGACGAUCCGUAACUGGUCUGAGAGGAUGAUCAGUAAAACUGGAACUGAGACACGGUCCAGACUCCUACGGGAGGAAGCAGUGGGGAAUAUUGGACAAUGGGCGAAAGCCUGAUCCAGCCAUGCCGCGUGUGUGAAGAAGGUCUUCGGAUUGUAAAGCACUUUAAGUUGGGAGGAAGGGAAGUAAGUUAAUACCUUGCUGUUUUGACGUUACCAAAAGAAUAAGCACCGGCUAACUUCGUG
This 484-nucleotide ribosomal RNA is filed under the name uncultured bacterium. Its description in RNAcentral is "partial 16S ribosomal RNA". It matches the Rfam family "Bacterial small subunit ribosomal RNA", at positions 30 to 507 of the family's 1533-position model. The record is from RNAcentral.